UACGUAGGGGGCAAGCGUUGUUCGGAAUUACUGGGCGUAAAGGGCUCGUAGGCGGCCAACUAAGUCAGACGUGAAAUCCCUCGGCUUAACCGGGGAACUGCGUCUGAUACUGGAUGGCUAGAGUUUGGGAGAGGGAUGCGGAAUUCCUGGUGUAGCGGUGGAAUGCGCAGAUAUCAGGAGGAACACCGGUGGCGAAGGCGGGAUCCUGGGCCAGUACUGACGCUGAGGAGCGAAAGCGUGGGGAGCAAACAGG
RNAcentral lists this ribosomal RNA (253 nucleotides) under uncultured bacterium. RNAcentral's name for it is "partial 16S ribosomal RNA". It matches the Rfam family "Bacterial small subunit ribosomal RNA", at positions 524 to 776 of the family's 1533-position model. The record is from RNAcentral.